AAACAAAACAAACUAAAAAAAAACAAUAAUAUAGAGUUCUGAAAUUGGUAUUAUCAUGAAGUUCUCAAUAAUCCAAGAAUACCAUCUUCUAGGAUACUAAAUUAGACUACCAUCUUCUAUUCAAUUCAAAGAUCUAAUGAUUGAACAUGUGCAUGUGCAUAUGUGUAUAUAAAGACAAUAAUAUUAGUAUAACCAUAGUUAGCAUAAUCCCUGAACAUCACUCUCUUUGUAUACUGAAGAGGACCACCAUUUAUAUUCAAUACAAAUAUGUAAUCAGAUUGUAUGUGCAGGGUGUGUGUGCAUGAGAGAGAGAGAUAGAG
This 320-nucleotide unclassified non-coding RNA is filed under the name Hevea brasiliensis (rubber tree). The record is from RNAcentral. Lineage: Eukaryota; Viridiplantae; Streptophyta; Magnoliopsida; Malpighiales; Euphorbiaceae.